AGAGUUUGAUCCUGGCUCAGGACGAACGCUGGCGGCGUGCUUAACACAUGCAAGUCGAACGGAAAGGCCCCUUCGGGGGUACUCGAGUGGCGAACGGGUGAGUAACACGUGGGCAAUCUGCCCUGCACUUCGGGAUAAGCCUGGGAAACUGGGUCUAAUACCGGAUAGGACCUUUAGGCGCAUGUCUUUAGGUGGAAAGCUUUUGCGGUGUGGGAUGGGCCCGCGGCCUAUCAGCUUGUUGGUGGGGUGAUGGCCUACCAAGGCGACGACGGGUAGCCGGCCUGAGAGGGUGUCCGGCCACACUGGGACUGAGAUACGGCCCAGACUCCUACGGGAGGCAGC
RNAcentral lists this ribosomal RNA (342 nucleotides) under uncultured Mycobacterium sp. RNAcentral describes it as "bacterial SSU rRNA". It matches the Rfam family "Bacterial small subunit ribosomal RNA", at positions 8 to 352 of the family's 1533-position model. Lineage: Bacteria; Bacillati; Actinomycetota; Actinomycetes; Mycobacteriales; Mycobacteriaceae. The record is from RNAcentral.